Molecule: non-coding RNA, 8592 nt
Organism: Pelobates cultripes (western spadefoot toad)
Lineage: Eukaryota; Metazoa; Chordata; Amphibia; Anura; Pelobatidae
Source: the annotation of a GenBank genome assembly
UCUUGCACUUUUCAGAUUACUACAAUAAUGUUAUUUCUGGAGUAGGUAAGAUAUGGAUCUGCUUAUUUUUAUUUAUUUUUUUAAACCAUCAACUUUUCUUCCUUUCACCCCAAUUUCUUACAUCAUCUACCUAUAAUCUGCUGACUGUAUAUAUUGGAUAUCAUCUUCCUACUAUAUGAAGGGCUGAAAUUGGGACUCUGUUUACUAUUUAGAACAAAUAUAAUAUCUGCAAUUUCUUCUGUGUUUUAUAGGUAGCGGUUUUGGCAUCAUCAGUAUCAUUUUAGUUUCAUUGUGUAUUGUUGUAAUCAUACGUAGAAGGAACAGGCAAGUAUAUGUUCAAUAAAUACAGAGCACUCAGUACAAAUAUGUAUAAUUCUAUAAUAAAAACCUUGUUCCAAAAUGCAUGGAAAAAUGUAAGUUUAAAAGAAGGAAAAGAGUAGAAACCAUUAAACAAAAACAAAAAAACACGUAUCUAUCACAAAAACACAGUGGCACAUACACACACUGACACACUCAGACACACACAUUGACAUACAAACACACUGAUACACACUGACACAUACACACACACACUUAGGUACACACAGUGACACAUACACAAACAUUGACACACUCAGAAACACAAUCUCUUUUACAGACAAACACACAUAUAAACACAUAUACACUCUCACUGGCAAGAACAGAUACAUUCUCACUGACAAACACAUACACUCUCACACACUCACUGACAAGCACACGUUCACUGACAAACACACACAAUUAUUUUGCUGUUGGGUGGCUGGCAAGAAGUCCCUGGGGUCCAGUGGGGCUUGGCAUGGAGUCCAAUGGGGCUGCUGAGCGGCUGGCUUGCAGGCGGCAAGGGAGCAGUGAUCUAUUCACAUGGCUCUUUGUGAUGCCGGAGCUGGAGUGACCUCAUAUUCUGGCUCCGGCAUCACUGCAGUGCACGCGAGGGAGCUGAGCAGGGAGAUCACUGCCCACUGCUUCCUUGCCGCCCGCGGCCAUUUUAUUUUUAAAAACCCUAGGUUUCCUUGGAACACCAAUUGGGAAACGAUGUGUUAAAACAAAGGACCACAGAAGCUGAUGGCCUGCAAUUCCCAGAAUUCUCUAAAUGCACUACAGUUAGGUCAUGAAAUAUUUAGACACAAUUUUCCUAAUUUUGGCUCUGUAUACCACUUACAAUGGAUAUGAAAUGAAACAACCGAGAUGCAAUUGAAGUGCAGACUUUCAGAUUUAAAUCAAGGGGCUGAACAAAAAUAUGAAAUGUUUAGGAAUUGCAACCAUUUUCAUACACCGUUCCUUUAUUUCAUGGGCUCAAAUGUAAUUGGACAAUAAAUGCAAUUAUAAAUAAAAUUUUAGUUUGUAAUACUUUGAAUCCUUUGCAUACAAUGACUGCUUAAAGUCUGGAAUUUAUGGACAUCACCAAACGCUGGGUUUCCUUCUAUGUGUUGCUUUGGCAAGCCUUUACAGCAGCUGUCUUCAGUUGUUGUUUGUGGGUCUUUCUACCUUAAGUUUUAUCUUCAGCAAGUGAAAUGCAUGCUCGAUCAGGUUGAGAUCAGGUGAUGAAUCCAUUGCAGAAUAUACCACUUCUUUGCCAUAAACUCCUGGGUUGCUUUUGCUGUACAUUUUGGGUUAUUGUCCAUCUGCAAAGGGUUGCACCGUUCAAUCAACUUUGCUGAGUUUGGCUGAAUAUAUCCAUACACCUCAGAAUUAAUCCAGCUGCUUCUGUCUUCUGUCACAUAAUCAAUAAACACUAGUGACCAAGUGAGAUUGGAAGCCAUGCAUGACCAUGCCAUGCCAUCACACUGCCUCCACUGUCUUUUACAGAUUAUGUGGAAUGCUUCGGAUCAUGAGCCAUUCCAAGCCUACUCCAUACUUUUUUUCUGCCCAUCAUUUUGAAACUGGUUGAUCUUAGUUUCAUCUGUCCAAAUAAUGCUGUUUUGAACUGGGUUGGCCUUUUUAGAUGUUGUCUAACAUGGCCUUUCUAUUCUUGAGGCUUAUUAAUGAUUUGCACCUUGUGGUGAACCCUCUGUAUUUGUGAAGUGUUCUCUUUAUGGUAGGCUUUAUGGUAGACUUGGAUUAUAAUAUGCCUACCUCCUGGAGAGAGUUCUUCACUUGGCUGGAUGUUGUGAAGAGGUUUUUCUUUACCAUUGAAAGAAUCCUAUAAUCAUCCACCAAUGUUGUUUUCUGUGGACGUCCAGGCCUUUUUGUGUUGUAGAGUUCAUCAGUAGACAUGUGCAAUUCAUUUCAGUACGAAUAUAAAUUGGGACGAAUUUCGACAUUUCAACUCUUCCGAAUUUCGGAAGUGCCAAACCGAAAUGAAUUGCCAAAUUUCAGAAGUGACGAAGUGCUUUGGAUUUCUGAAAAGUGGCAAAACAGUUGUUUUUGCAGCCCGAGGAUGGCCUGUUUCACUUGCAUUGACAGCUCCUUUAUAGCAUGUUGUGGGAUCACAGCAACAGCUUCUAUAUGUGAAUACCACACCUGGAAUUAACUCCAGACCCUUUACCUGCUUAAUUGAUGAAGUAAUAAGGUAGGAAUAGCCCACACUUGUCCAUGAAACAGCUUUUGAGUCAACUGUCCAAUUACUUUUAGUCCCUUGAAAAAGAGUUGUAAUUCCUAAACCCUUCCUCAAAUUUAGAUGUGAAUACCCCCAAAUUAAAGAUAAGAGACUGCAAUUUAAGCCCAUAUUCACAACUUAACUGUAACUUGAAUGUAUUUUGGUUAACACAACACACUAAUGGGAAUGAUCUCUUUCUGCCCCAGAGAGAUACAUAAUACAAGAUCCAGUGCACUCAUUCACUAAACACCAACUUCAAAGCUCACAGUUGUAAUCGUUUAUUUUUUAACACCUGAGCAAAAUUUGGGCAAAAAUAAUGGGGAUUAAGUUACAGUAUAUGAUCAUACAUUGCAUAAGGUACCCUAUUUUUGGCAGGUCCUAUUCUAGCAACAUAAAGCCUGCUAUUAUAAGAUUAACCAAUUUACUUUGAAAAUCCGUUCUCCUGGGGCUCUCUAGUGCAAUGUUAAAUAGAGCCCUGGAAUAAAGCGCCUUUUACAGAGAUGGGUGCAAAGUCACAGGAGUUGAUAUUGUCUCUCAAAUAUAUUUACUUAUGAAACCAAGAAGGCUACACUCACCUAUGCAUGCAUACAAGAAACAAAAAUCAGGCUGCCUAUAGUUGAUCCGCAUCUACAAAACACUGGACUUUGAGAUUUGUUUUGUUACAAACAGCAAUUUGUCCACAUUGGGGCCACCGGGUGAUCAUCAGAAUUCUGAUUUCUGAACCACCACAUAGAUUAAUCACAAAACAAAUGACUCAUGCAAUAGAUGAGCAUGUUUGUUUGAUAUAUGAUUGGAGUUCUGCCUAUUGCUACAAAAAAUAAAAAAAUAUAUGAUUGAUGGAAAUAAAUAUGGUUAAUUUUAUUCACUGAUCAAGUAAGAAGUGACCAACAGAGGGGGAAAGACAAGGAGGAACUAUAUAUAUAUAUAUAUAUAUAUUAUAUAUAUAUAUAUAUAUAUAUAUAUAUAUAUAUAUAUAUAUAUAUAUAUAUAUAUAUAUAUAUAUAUAUAUAUAUAUAUAUAUAUAUAUAUAUAUAUUGUAUAUCUGUAGAUAUAGUACUGCUCUUUUUAUCCCUCUAUUGGUUCCUUUUUCACAUUUGUUCUAUAAAAAUGAUGGGAAAAUGUGCCUAUUUGUACUGCAAAAUAUAUACUACAUUUUUCAGAAUUUAAGACCAACCCAUAAAUUCUAACCAGAAAGUUAGGGAAAAAUUAAAACAACCUACAAUUACAGUAUACUUUAGCUUAUGUGUAGUAUAUAAUAAAUACAGUGUGUAUGGGGAUGUAUUGUGUAUGUGUGUAUGUGAAUGUAGUGUGUGCGUAGGGGAUGUAGUGUGUAUAGUGAAAGCAGCAUGUAUGUGAUAAUUUAUAGGGUGAGUUAGUGGCUGUGUUAUUGGAAGGUGACAGAGUUUCAGUUACUUUUUUUUUUUUUUUACUUUUUUUUCUUCUCUUUAUUAAAGGACCACUAUAGUGCCAGGAAAGCAUACUCGUUUUCCUGGCACUAUAGUGCCCUGAGGGUGCCCCCACCCUCAGGGACCCCCUCCCGCCAGGCUCUGGAAAGGGGAAAGGGGUUUAAACUUACCUUUUUCCAGUGCUGGGCGGAGAGCUCUCCUCCUUCUCUCCGCCUCCGUUCCUCCCCGCCGGCUGAAUGCGCACGCGCGGCAAGAGCUGCGUGCGCAUUCAGCCGGUCACAUAGGAAAGCAUUUACAAUGCUUUCCUAUGGACGCUGGCGUGCUCUCACUGUGAAAAUCACAGUGAGAAGCACGCAAGCGCCUCUAGUGGCUGUCAAUGAGACAGCCACUAGAGGAUUAGGGGGAAGGCUUAACCCAUUCAUAAACAUAGCAGUUUCUCUGAAACUGCUAUGUUUAUUAAAAAAUGGGUUAACCCUAGCUGGACCUGGCACCCAGACCACUUCAUUAAGCUGAAGUGGUCUGGGUGCCUAGAGUGGUCCUUUAAAGUUUAUUCCCGCAUCUCUGCUUCUUACCAUCCCUCUGACCAGGGAAUAAGGCACAACAUUCCCUCAUGGUCCAUUGGUCCAUGAUGGUGUAGGUCAGGGAUAGGCCACCUUUGGCACUUCAGAUGUUGUGGACUACAUCCCCCAUAAUGCUCUUACACCCAUAAUGCUGGCGAGGUGCAGUCCAAAACAUCUGGAGUGCCAAAAGUUGCCUAUGUCUGGUCUAAGUAAUGAAUGCUGCACCACUGCCAGAGGCAAACUCUGCUUGCCAGCCCUGGCAUUGAUCAGUGUCGGAGAGUUGCCAUGCUAACCUGCAGGAAUGCUUUGACCUGCCGAAGCUCACGAGAGAGAACUGAAGACAGAGAGUCUCAUAAGCUCCCCCUGCUGCAGUGACCGAGUGAGGGAGACAUAUAUAUGCAUGGAGCAACUUCCAACUCUCCAUCCACUGCAAGAGGUGAAGUCAACGUAUGUGUAGUGUGCUUGUGUGUGUGUGUCAAUACACUAUCUGUAGUGAGUUGUGUGUGUGUGUGUACCACUGAUCAUUCUGUGUGUGUAAAUUGUAUACACACAUUCGGCAUAGAGGACGCGGGCAAAUGUUGGGGUAAAAAACGGUGUCCUAUAUUCCAAAAAGUAAGGUACAAAAUAUUUAUAUUUGUAUAUAUUUUGCUGUACAAUAAUUGCACUACUUUCAUGCACUUUUAGCUCAUCUGAUUUUUUUUCACAAAUCUUAUUGGCUGGAUGUAAUUUUGAUACAUGAAAUCUUGCUAUCCCCAAAAUGUUUAUUAUUUUUGGAUAAAGUGGUUUGUCCAAAACAAAUUUUUGCACCGUACACAAGUCUACAAAAGAGCGAAUGAGGCUGUGGAUAAACAGAGAGUAGCAGUGGUAUGGCCUAUGCUAUAUCUUAACUGGAAUGAUAACUGAAACUGAUCUUUGGGGAUAUACUACUUAUAUUAUAAUCCUUUUUUGAACAUAUGUAUUUAAGUUGGAUUGAAUUAUAUUUUUAUAUAUGUAUGUAUAUACAUCAAAGCCAAUCCAAGUUUAGAAGAAAGAUGUAUAUACAUGAGAAAUAACAAUCAAUAGUUAGUAUUGGUUUAUUUAUUUCCAACACAGACAUUUUUUGUAUUGUAUACAGAAAGGGUAGGGCCCCCAAAAAUGUAGACAUGCAUAUGUCAAUAUAUUUUUUAGCGCCAUCAAAUUCUGCAGCGCUUUACAAUGGGUGGACAAACAGACAAGUAGUUGUAACCAGACAAGUUGGACACACAGGAACAGAGGGGUUGAGGGCCCUGCUCAAUGAGCUUACAUGCUAGAGGGAGAGGAGUAAAGUGACACAAAAAGGUAAGGAUAAUAUUAGACUAGUGACAGUUGCAAAAGAGGAAUCAUUCGGGAGCUAACAGUUUAAUUGAUUCGCUUUUAUGAAGAAGUGGGAUUUUAAUGAUUUUUUGAAGGAGUGGAGACUGGGUGAGCAUCUAACGGAAGAGGAAAGCGAGUUCCACAGGAACGGUGCAGCCCUCGAGAAGUCUUGAAGGCGAGCAUCAGAGGUGGGAGUACGGGCAGAAUAUAGACGUACGUUUUCAGCAGAUCGUAAGGGCAUAGACGGGACAUACUUGUGUAUUAGGGAGGAUAGAUAGGUGGGAGCAGCAUUAUGUAGAGAUUUGACAUUUUUGCAAUAAUUUGACAAUAAUUUUAACAUAGUUUAUUGAAUUUAGAAUUUGUAGAAAUAGUUGUACUAAUGCCUGUAUGCUUUAUUUUUUAUCUCUAACUCAGAAAUAGGCAAACAUGUACUGAAGGCAAUGAAGUAGAGCUGACAACUUUCAUGUCUGCCGAGCAAGGUGCAACAAGAAGAGAGGAAUGAGGACAUAUGCUAUUAUAUUAUAUAAUUUACCAACAUGAGAAUGAUCAAUAGGAAUUCCGUCCACUCUGAAAACAGUCUCAUGUUUUCACAACUUAUUGCUAUCAGUUCCUUGCCUUUGGAGAAGACAUUUGUUACAUAGGCUGAGAAGAAUAUAGAUACUUAUGUAAAGAAAAAACGAAUGUGGCUCUGUAAUGUUGAAGUGAGUGGUCAGCAACAUCAUUUAGUAGACCACUGGUUCUCAAGUCCAUUAUUCAAGAUACAGAACUUUCAAAUAAACUUGAAGUAUAACAGAUCAUUGACAGCAGGACUGAGUUAAAGCCAGUUAAAACAUGACUUUCUAAGUUAUGAUAAAACACUCGAUUGAGAGAAUUCUCAUUCCUGUAUAUUUUUUAUUCAAAGAAGCAUUCUAUUUAUUGAAUAUGUUGACUUAGAAGAAAAGGCGUGGUUCCCCUGAAGAACAAAUGAUUAUGAUGUUUAAUUUACAAAAUGAUCUCAAUUCUCUACUGUAUUAUGUCAUCUAGACUGCUACUUUGAAGAUCUGUUCUCAAUGAGUGCAAAGGAGGAAUUUCACUGUAUAAUAUUCUCAGUCUAUACACAUACCCUCAAUAUAGUGACAUUAAUCUUUUUAGCAUGUUACACAUGUAUAUAAGAAGUACAAGUGAGAUGCAGCAGAGUAUGGAGGAAAGGGAGAGUAAAGAGUUUAGGUCACUACGACUGACCAACAGCAAUCAUAUCAUCCCAAAGAAUUUGCUUAUUCCUCUGAAAGCUUUUGCUGGGUCAAUGUAUGCAGGUUUAUCACAUCAUAUCUCUCUUCAGUUUCAUAGCAUCUUGCAGCACCUUUAUGUAUAUCAUAUAAUUUUAUAAAUGAACUGAACACUACUGGUUACCAUGGCAUUACAAAAAAUAUCUUUUGGAGAAAAAAAAAACUGCUUUAUUUUAGAGGGUAUUGCAGAUACAUAUAUGUAUGUUAAUAAAUCCAUGUGCUUAAUGUAGCCUUAUAAAUAUCCAAUAUAAAAAAAUAGUACUUCUAGUGUCCUUACAAUUAAACUUUUAUUCCAUAAUGCAAAUACAGAAGGAAGAAAAGUAGCGAGGGGAGCUGAAACAUUGACCGUAUUGACACUACGGAAUACAGGAUCUUACUUAUAUGAAUUCCUGUAGUUCUGUUUUUUUUUACAUUGGUAUCAACAAUCAUUUUGCAGCACUACAUCAGGUGAAGGUAGAUGUGUAAACAUGUAAAGUGGUUCACAUAAACUGUUUUGUUCCCUCCACAAAACGCCCACUAUACAUACCAGGACUGUGCUCCUUUCUUGUUUUUAUUUUAGUUGAAAACAGACAGUGAGUGCAGCAUACAGACACUGUCAUGCUAUCAUAGACACACAAAUUGAAUACCACAUUGAACAGUCAGACUAAAAUAAACAAUUUCAUUUCCAAUUUACUAUUAUUCAAAGUAUAGUAAAUAUAUAAACCCCCUGGUUUAUUUAAAAAUAUUUUUAGAUACUCUUAGUUCUGCUGGACAUGUCAUUGAGAUGGAUAGUCUAACUGAAAAUGUAGCAAUAUGCUGUAUGCUAUUUUGGGAUUAAUGCAUAUUUGUUUUAGUCACAUAUACAAUUGUAUAUAUAUAUAUAGCAGCAUGGAGCCCACAUUAUUGACCUAUAAAGACAUUAUAAGAUGUAUUACUAACUGGAUUUGAGUUAGAACCAAUAUCUCGGACAUGACUGGUUAUUUACUAAACUGGGUAUUAUCAAGAAUUCAAUGUCAAUUCACAGUGAAUUUCAAGUUUAAAGCCUCUAUAUAUUUCCUUGAAUUGUAAAAAAAAAAAAAAACACCAACAAAUCGACAAGUCAGCUAUGCUUCUAGUUCAGUUAUUUCAGAAUAAAGUUUGAACUUCAUGUUGAAUGCAUGACAAUUCUCACGUUAGUCCAUAUUAACCCUGAAGAAUAACUUGGUUGUAGACAUAUGUGAAUGGAAAUCGUAUGAGGAGCUUGUUUUGUAUCAAAACUGUCUGAUUAGCCUUUUCUAACUAGCUUGAACAGCAAAUAUUUUCCCCACAGUAUUAUGUAAAAUAGAAUUUAUUAUACAUUAUAAUAAUGUGUCAUGCUUACAAUCUGGUGUAUUAAAAAAAUUUGUAGAUAAACAUCUGCUGUGAGCCCCUCAAAUUGCUUUUGAGUGGAUUUAUUCAAUCUAGAAUUUUAAUGUCACAAUAAUAUGAUAAUAAUCAGUUGAAUGGAUCUGAACAAG